GACGAACGCUGGCGGCGUGCUUAACACAUGCAAGUCGAACGGAAAGGCCCUGCUUGCAGGGUACUCGAGUGGCGAACGGGUGAGUAACACGUGGGUGAUCUGCCCUGCACUUCGGGAUAAGCCUGGGAAACUGGGUCUAAUAUCGGAUAGGAGCCAUUUUUAGUGUGAUGGUUGGAAAGUUUUUUUCGGUGUAGGAUGAGCUCGCGGCCUAUCAGCUUGUUGGUGGGGUAAUGGCCUACCAAGGCGGCGACGGGUAGCCGGCCUGAGAGGGUGGACGGCCACAUUGGGACUGAGAUACGGCCCAGACUCCUACGGGAGGCAGCAGGGGGGAAUAUUGCACAAUGGGCGCAAGCCGGAUGCAGCGACGCCGCGUGGGGGAUGACGGCCUUCGGGUUGUAAACGCCUUUCGCUAGGGACGAAGCUUUUUGUGACGGUACCUAGAUAAGAAGCACCGGCUAACUACGUG
This 466-nucleotide ribosomal RNA is filed under the name uncultured bacterium. RNAcentral describes it as "partial 16S ribosomal RNA". It matches the Rfam family "Bacterial small subunit ribosomal RNA", at positions 28 to 507 of the family's 1533-position model. The record is from RNAcentral.